This 361-nucleotide ribosomal RNA is filed under the name Dendropsophus leucophyllatus (Bereis' treefrog). Its description in RNAcentral is "partial 12S ribosomal RNA". Lineage: Eukaryota; Metazoa; Chordata; Amphibia; Anura; Hylidae. The record is from RNAcentral.
CGGAUCAGUUGUUACUUGAUGUACACAUGCAAGUCUCCGCCCCCCUGUGAAAACGCCCUUUAAUCCCUCCAAGGGAUAAGGAGCUGGUAUCAGGCACAAAAAUUAGCCCAAGACACCUAGCCAUGCCACACCCACACGGGAUUUCAGCAGUGAUUAACAUUGUUUAUAAGCGCUAGCUUGAAUCAGUCAAAGUAAAAAGGGCCGGCUAAUCUGGUGCCAGCCGCCGCGGUUACACCACGUGGCCCAAACUGACCCCCUCCGGCGUAAAGCGUGAUUAAAGCCUUUUUCUAACUGCAAUCAAACUAAAACUAAGCUGUGACACGCUUGUUACUAGGAAACUUAAGAAACGAAAGUCAUUGCA